This 279-nucleotide ribosomal RNA is filed under the name uncultured bacterium. RNAcentral's name for it is "partial 16S ribosomal RNA". It matches the Rfam family "Bacterial small subunit ribosomal RNA", at positions 506 to 784 of the family's 1533-position model. The record is from RNAcentral.
UGCCAGCCGCCGCGGUAAUACGAAAGGUGCAAGCGUUGUUCGGAAUUAUUGGGCGUAAAGAACAUGUAGGCGGACUAUUAAGUCUGAUGUGAAAGCCCAGAGCUCAACCCCGGAAGUGCAUUGGAUACUAAUAGUCUUGAGUAUGGGAGAAGAAAGUGGAAUUCCGAGUGUAGGAGUGAAAUCCGUAGAUAUUCGGAGGAACACCAGUGGCGAAGACGGCUUUCUGGACCAAUACUGACGCUGGGAUGCGAAAGCGUGGGGAGCGAACAGGAUUAGAUA